CCUACGGGUGGCUGCAGUGGGGAAUAUUGGACAAUGGGCGAAAGCCUGAUCCAGCCAUGCCGCGUGUGUGAAGAAGGCCUUCGGGUUGUAAAGCACUUUCAGUGGGGAAGAAAGCCUUGGGGCUAAUACCCUCGAGGAAGGACAUCACCCACAGAAGAAGCACCGGCUAACUCCGUGCCAGCAGCCGCGGUAAUACGGAGGGUGCGAGCGUUAAUCGGAAUUACUGGGCGUAAAGCGCGCGUAGGCGGUCUGAUAAGCCGGUUGUGAAAGCCCCGGGCUCAACCUGGGAACGGCAUCCGGAACUGUCAGGCUAGAGUGCAGGAGAGGAAGGUAGAAUUCCCGGUGUAGCGGUGAAAUGCGUAGAGAUCGGGAGGAAUACCAGUGGCGAAGGCGGCCUUCAGGACUGACACUGACGCUGAGGUGCGAAAGCGUGGGUAGCAAACAGGAUUAGAUACCCUAGUAGUC
RNAcentral lists this ribosomal RNA (465 nucleotides) under Vreelandella stevensii. Its description in RNAcentral is "partial 16S ribosomal RNA". It matches the Rfam family "Bacterial small subunit ribosomal RNA", at positions 338 to 795 of the family's 1533-position model. The record is from RNAcentral. Lineage: Bacteria; Pseudomonadati; Pseudomonadota; Gammaproteobacteria; Oceanospirillales; Halomonadaceae.